Saccostrea cuccullata (small rock oyster) is the source of this 734-nucleotide long non-coding RNA. RefSeq lists it as uncharacterized. The record is from RefSeq and is a predicted model, not a curated record. The transcript has 5 exons. Lineage: Eukaryota; Metazoa; Mollusca; Bivalvia; Ostreida; Ostreidae.
ACGGAAUGUUGUUUACAUCUAAAAACGUGGCGACAUCAGCUGAGAUUUGCAGUGGAUUUAAAUGCAAUAACCACACAAUCUUUAAAGAAAAUAGGGAUAAAAUAAGAGACAAGGCAUUGCUUCUCCAUUUUACAAGAACAUGAGGACAUUAUUUCGGAAAAUAGCAGAAAACUGAGAUGAUUUGCACCAGCUCUAGCUCCGUAGAUCAAUCACUGCACUGUAAUUCCAGGCCAGCUGUCUAGAGUUUCAGGCUUAAAGAGUGAAUAAAUAAAAAAUGCAUCAUUUCUCCACAGGGUUUGCCCUAAGCUAUUCCCAGAUGUUGGACAAAUGGAUUCAUUCCGACAGCAAGUUAAUCCAUCAUUUAAGGAAAAUGGCAAGUUAAGCAACGGCGAGCCUGUUUAACCUUUGGAUGGGUGACCGCUUCACGUUACACAUAAUUCAUUUUAUCCACAAGAACAUGAGGUGAUGGAAAUAAUUUGCACCUGCCCAGCAUUCCUACAGUCUGUCUUUGGAUUUGAAAAGAAAUGUUUAUUAAAUAAAUUUUCUAGAUGAAUAAUAAUUUGACUUUUUCAUAUAUUUACUGUACAAGUGUUGAAAAGGCUAUUAAGAUAUGAAAAUCUUAACUUUCAUACUAUUUUGUGUGGAGGGUACUAAUGAUCAUCAAGAUCUUAUUUCCAGCAUGUGCAUUGUGCUCAUUUAUCUUUCAAUAAUAUUACCAAAAACAGGAGACUAGA